CUGUGUUCAUCCAGCCCUGCACCUUGUUGUCUCGGAUUCUCCAGCAUCUGCAGUUCCUACUAUCUCUGAUUCAAUUAAUACCAGAUUAACUUUGACGAUUUUGCUAGUUUCAAAAUUGCUGCUGUCUAUUCUAAUGUAACAAUUAGUGCAUAUUAAAAUAAUUAAUUUUAUCUAAAAUACUUUGAAAUAUCCUUGGAUGAAGUAAUAAAGGUAAAGUGCCAGAGGAUCAUAGGGCUGCUGUCUCAUUAGAGUGAGAAUAACCUGAGGGUCAACACAUGUCAGGUGAGGUUGAGAAGGUGGGAUCUUUCUGGAGACCUCAGUUAGAACAGGAAUUGAACCCAUGCUGGUGGUGGUCACUCUCCAUUGCCAUUUAGAUAUCUAGUAAUUGAGCUAACCAACCCCCAACAAGUCACCACAUUAAGUGUGAAUUUAAACUGGUUUACUACUUUUGGCUUACUGAAGUAAUACAUUUCCUUGCAGAAACCUUUAAACAUAACAGUCAUUCGAAAUGGACAAAAUGUACACAUGAAUCUCACACCUCAGCGAUGGAGUGGAAGAGGAUUAUUAGGGUGUAAUAUUAUUCCUUUGCAGAGCUAAAGAUUGUUGAUUCAGCACGAGAAAACCUUCACAUCUGGCAAAAUGCUCACACCAUAGUAACCGAAAUUGGAGCAAACCUGAACAUUGGAACAUUACAGCUACUUAUUCCAGUCAGAGGUUUUGAAUCCACCUAAUUUGAAUUUAAAGCAGACUAUUUAUUUAAUUUUGGUUUCUGUGGAAAGUUUUUUUUUUCGCCAUUCUUUUUCAGAUUAAAUUUUACCAUUACCAUCACCAUAUCAUUCUUCAACUGAGACUGUCACAUCCUUUGCUAUUGCUAUGAUAUACCACAAAUAUAACAAUGGGGGAAAGGUUGAAUUGAUUUCAGUUGCUGUUUAUUUCCAGAGUUUUCUUCCCACCCCAAUUCUAAUCCCCAUUCCACAGUUGAUGAUUAGUAAAUUUCUAUGCUGAGUUGUGUUGAUUACAAAUUAAGGAUAUUAUGGACUUCAAAGUUAAAACAUUUUGCUGAUUUGUAAAGGUGGUUGGUGUAAUACCUGCUUUGGGAAUAGGUCACAUGCACAGUUGAGUACACAAGGGUCUUCAAUAUACAUGCAACAUUUUUGUCUACAAAGUUGCAAAUGCUGUGUCUGUAUAAGAAAAAUGGAAAUGUGUAGUUAGUGAACUUUGUCAUGAGUUAACAUCACAAUUGUUUGAAGUGAUUUUUUUUUUAUACAGGUGAUUUUUCUGAAUAUUUACACUUUCAAAAUGCUGAAUAUUUCAUUGAAAUAUAGGAGCAGUUCAUGAAUAAAAUAAAUUCCAUGUUUGAUAAGUGUGCUGGUACCUACAAUGAAAGGUUUGUUUGAAGUAUAUGAAAUUCAUAUAUUUGAUAGAAUUAAAGGUAAUGGCACAGA
Molecule: long non-coding RNA, 1445 nt
Organism: Rhincodon typus (whale shark)
Lineage: Eukaryota; Metazoa; Chordata; Chondrichthyes; Orectolobiformes; Rhincodontidae
Exons: 2
Source: RefSeq, a predicted model, not a curated record